AAAAUAUUGCCUUUGGUAAAAGUUCCAGGAAAUGAUGAAUCUGGUGAAGCAAUUCCACACAUUGUGCAAAAACAUAUCGAUCAGAAUGCUUGCCAGCAAUUGCCAACAUUGCUGGCAAGCGCGAGAUUAACCAAUGAUACUUGGGUUACAUUUGUGUUAGUCUGGAAGUGAUCCAUUCAAUCAUUAGCAGCAAGUCGAGCAAGCUGCUGACCUUAACUGGGCUGGUGAGCACCUGGAUCUGGAUGGUGUGCAGGUAGAAAUUAGUUUAUCUUGGGCAUAGACACUGUGGGCCGAAGGGCCGGCUCCUGUGUACUGCUCUGGGUUGUGUUUUG
Amblyraja radiata (thorny skate) is the source of this 332-nucleotide long non-coding RNA. RefSeq lists it as uncharacterized. NCBI's taxonomy places the organism in Eukaryota, Metazoa, Chordata, Chondrichthyes, Rajiformes, Rajidae. The transcript is spliced from 3 exons. The record is from RefSeq and is a predicted model, not a curated record.